Molecule: RNA transcript, 2136 nt
Organism: Triticum aestivum (bread wheat)
Lineage: Eukaryota; Viridiplantae; Streptophyta; Magnoliopsida; Poales; Poaceae
Exons: 4
Source: RefSeq, a predicted model, not a curated record
CCCGCCCCCACUCUUGGCCCGCUCCUCUUGUGCUGCCCCACGGACGCCAGCACGGGCGGCCGCCGCCAACCGCUGGCACCCCACCGCCGCCCGCCGAUCCUAAACUCGGGCGUCGCUCCAAUCGCCUGCCGCCGCCGCUCCACUCGGCCUCCACCGCCGAUCCUCCACUCGCCCACAGUUGCCGUUCAACUUGAUCUCCUCCGCCGAUCCUCCACUCCACGGCCGGCCGCUUAUACGGAAUCUGCACUUUCCCAUAAUACCACGAUGGACUCCUCAAGUGGCAAGAAAAUUACUACGCAAUAGCUUGUGAACUUUUCAAGGAUGUUUUGAAUGAUCCACUAAUAUCCGAAAUUCAGAUGAAGAAUCAUCACCCACCUGCAUCCCCGUUAGGAUCAGGGGAAUGUUCCCUGUUUGAAGAUCUGACGAAUAUGCCUACUCAUGUUAAUGCAAAUCAAGGGGGAGUUGGCCUGCGGUUCUGUUGGUCUUCCCCAUCCCAGGCGUUGGGACUUGAGAGGCCGCACAUAUGAGAUCCGAGAGGCACAUGGUUGUUUAUUCAUCGACUACGGUGCCGCUGCAUAGGGCGAACGGUUAUGGCUGACGCCUCCAUCUCUCUAAACGACGCCGACACCAUAUUCUAAAUGACGCUGCCGACGACUCCUCUCAGACCGACCCUGGACGGUACAAUCUGGUUAUGCAAAUCCUCGUGUCUUACUACUGAGGAAUAUCCGUCUAUGAAGGCAAAUCAUGUUUACUUACUGAUGAUAGUGUGUUUUGGACAAUUGGGUUCGAGAAUAAUUGUGGUGAUUUGGAAAUUCUUAACUUGGAUAAUAACACGAGGAACGAACUUGUGUCUCCUCUACUUUCUGUUACGGACCUAAAUCAAGCAGAGGCCAGAAUCACCUUCUAAGGUCUCUCGUUCGCUUCAUAGCAUCGGAAGAAGGAUAUAAAUUCAGGUUACACCCUUGGGUACAUGAAGGAGGAAGUGGGUGAGAUAUAGAUGGAAGCAGGAUUGGGACGAGAGAUAGAGGUACAUCCAGCAAAAGGGCGAGGAGCAAAGAGGUAGGUGAUUCAAAUUCAGGUCACCGUCGUUUCCUUCGAUGCUUCGCCUUGAAGUCUUUCCUCUGGUUAAGUAGCCUACCGAGUCGAAGGAGGCCACAGAAGCUUGUAUCUUCUGGGUUGGACUUUGUCUUCUUCAGGUUGGUCCACUGGCCCAUUUGUUCGCUGUUUUAGGCCCUUCUUCUCUUCGCCAGUUAACAUAACAGCAGGCACUUCUUCUCUUCAUCAGUUAACUUAGUAUUCUUCAAGUGUUGUUUUCUUCGUCAGUUAACUCCUUCAGGUUUGCAUUCUUGUCCAACUGCCCAUCUCCCAUGUGGAUUACACAUGAUCCUAGAAAGCUGAACAUGGCUUUGACUAAAUAGUUUUGUGUUUUCUUUGUUUAUCAAUGUUAUAAUCAUGAAGUUUGGUAAAUGGUGGUCGGUUAAUAUAUCAGUUGGGUUUGGAUAAUACACUUAAUCAUACAUUCUGCAUAAAUGCAAUGCCUAUUUUUUUAAUUCUAAAGUGUAUUAAUAACCUGAGAAUGCUAUGAUGGGGCAUAUCUGAAUAUGGCAAUCCAUGAUAUGUUAUGAUGCACACUUUUACUGAUAUUAGGAAUAGAAAGAAUACUUUGAUGUAGCAUAUCUGCACUGUUCAUGUAUAACUAAAAGUGACUAAACUCUUUUUUUUUGUGAGGAUCUGAAGAAACCCCUUCUUUCUGUUGCAGGUACUGGAGCAAGAUUUAUUAUAUCUGGGUGAGGGCAUCAAUCAAUGUUGGGACAAGGAAUCUCAUCAGUGCAACAAUAUAUAGCUACCACAUUGGACCAGGCGCGUUUAUCUUGAGCAUAGCUAGACGGAAAAACACAUUUCCUGAGCUGGCAUGUGAAGGAAGCAAACAAAAGGACUGCACUCAUACGGAACCAUGAAGCCAACGAUCUAUGUCAACCAGAUGUUUUAGAUUUCAUUUUGUACAAUUGAUGUCUCAUACUUGCAUCUUUUACCUUCUGUGAACGUGGUGCAUGGUGUCAUGGUGGUUAUGUUUAGAACAGACUGAAGUGUAUGUAUGUGACAAAUAGUUAAUGGAAUAAGAAAAUGUUUGGUGCA